AUUGAACGCUAGCGGGAUGCUUUACACAUGCAAGUCGAACGGCAGCGCGGACUUCGGUCUGGCGGCGAGUGGCGAACGGGUGAGUAAUGUAUCGGAACGUGCCCAGUAGCGGGGGAUAACUACGCGAAAGCGUAGCUAAUACCGCAUACGCCCUACGGGGGAAAGCAGGGGAUCGUAAGACCUUGCACUAUUGGAGCGGCCGCUAUCGGAUUAGCUAGUUGGUGAGGUAACGGCUCACCAAGGCGACGAUCCGUAGCUGGUUUGAGAGGACGACCAGCCACACUGGGACUGAGACACGGCCCAGACUCCUACGGGAGGCAGCAGUGGGGAAUUUUGGACAAUGGGGGCAACCCUGAUCCAGCCAUCCCGCGUGUGCGAUGAAGGCCUUCGGGUUGUAAAGCACUUUUGGCAGGAAAGAAACGUCGCGGGCUAAUACCCCGUGGAACUGACGGUACCUGCAGAAUAAGCACCGGCUAACUACGUG
This 484-nucleotide ribosomal RNA is filed under the name uncultured bacterium. RNAcentral's name for it is "partial 16S ribosomal RNA". It matches the Rfam family "Bacterial small subunit ribosomal RNA", at positions 30 to 507 of the family's 1533-position model. The record is from RNAcentral.